UCGAUCGGUGAGAUAUCGGCUUAAAGCUAAGCCCUAGAUUAAAGAAUAUUGGCGAAAGGAAAAUUAAAAGAUUAAAAUACGCGUGGCCUCGUUCUUUCUUAACUCAACUCCCAAAGGAGACGGAGGUGCUACAAUCCUCGCUGCCAACUUCACGGCAAUCUUUGCUGCACCCACCGCGUGUAUCGUGCAAGAAAAAAUAUAACCCUUUCAAUUGCAUCCUUCAUAGGAUUGCCCAACAAAACACCCAACUUGAUUCUGGUGUAGUUUCUGGUAGUGCAUUGCAGAGAAUAUGCGCGGAGCGCCUGUGAUUUGUCGCAAAAAUUAAUUCCGCGUCCAAUAACCUCGUUUUUUGUGGCGUUUUGGCUAUCGCCGCUCCAAUCGGAAUAAAUUUAUUCCAAAAUUUUUGUGGCUGUGGUGUCGCUCUCCAUAGGGGACUGGCACCACAAGUACGUAGCAGAUUACCCCUGAGUGGUAGGCCGCCAAGUCCGAUUUUUCAACUGAGGAAAGAGGACUCAGUCUCAAUGAAUUAACGAAACUUUGAGCGAAGGAAGUUUUAACCUGCGCCUUUCUGUCCAUUUUUGACCGGACUCAUUCCGAAAAAGAGCACGUGGUUUUGUGCAGUGCAGCCGUAAAAUAAUCAGGAUGGGUGCAAGCGUUUAAAAGCCCCUUCAAAUAUAAUUGUGUCUAUGCAUUCGAGCCUCUCGGUCCUGCCAAUGAUUAUCGCGAGUACUUAACCAAUAGAAAAAAAAAAAACCUAAAAAAACUUGAAUCCGUGGAAUUCAGGUCUUACUACACGUGUACCCAACGAAGCUGUUGCAACACAUUGGCAUGACCUAGGGACGUUCGAAGACAAUGUUCUUGUAAUACCUACACAUCCAAUACUUAUAAGAGUUAUUUGUUCACAGAGAGAGAGAGGUUACGAAUAAUGUUAAUGUUAAUGUGCUUAAUCGAAAACGGGUGCUCCCAAACCAAAUCAGAGGCUUCAGCCUCCGCUUCGAAAACUGUAAGUCAAACCAUAGAAGAAAAAUUAUUAAUUGUUUCGGGUUAUUCGUUUUUGGAGCCUUUGAAUAUGUUGGACGUUGGUACCAUUGCCAAUAAUUGAAUUUAUUAGAAAAUUUAACCGUCUAGUUGUUAUUUUUAUCCUUUUCUCUCCCGGCAUCAGUUUGAUAUGAUUCGAUUUUUUUUGUAAAUUUGAUUAAAUUUGGUUUUUGUAACCUAAUCUCAAGAUAACGAGUAAGAUAAUUAUGUUUGAUAACCGCAUUGCUGCAUCGUAUAUACUAUAUGAAAUUGAGGAUAAGAUCCAAACUUAUUUUUUGACCAGUAUUUAGUUUAAGAUUUCAAAGUAUGAAGAUAAGCUUGAAUAGCCCAAAAGAACAAAUUCGGUAAUCAGUAACCGGUAAUUUCGUACUAAUCAUACUUUAGGGACCUCUACAUAUUAACUUCAUUAAAUCUGAAUAAUAUUAAGUUCGUUUGUUUCCGAAAGAAAUACUAAGAAUGAAUUAAAUUAGGAAAUGAAUCCUGCCUUGUUCAUAAGUUUAGAAAUUAAUAAAACUAUUGUUCUUUGAUAUGAA
Long non-coding RNA from Drosophila willistoni, 1571 nucleotides. RefSeq lists it as uncharacterized. NCBI's taxonomy places the organism in Eukaryota, Metazoa, Arthropoda, Insecta, Diptera, Drosophilidae. The record is from RefSeq and is a predicted model, not a curated record. The transcript is spliced from 2 exons.